CUUGAUGGAGCCCAGCCAGAGCGGCUGGUCCUCGGUGUGGUUGCGCCCGUACGUGGCGAGCAGGGCCUGCGCCUC
Non-coding RNA from Streptomyces violaceusniger Tu 4113, 75 nucleotides. The record is from Rfam. Lineage: Bacteria; Bacillati; Actinomycetota; Actinomycetes; Kitasatosporales; Streptomycetaceae.